This 447-nucleotide ribosomal RNA is filed under the name uncultured bacterium. RNAcentral describes it as "bacterial SSU rRNA". It matches the Rfam family "Bacterial small subunit ribosomal RNA", at positions 328 to 792 of the family's 1533-position model. The record is from RNAcentral.
AAGCCAGACUCCUACGGGAGGCAGCAGUGGGGAAUAUUGCACAAUGGGGGAAACCCUGAUGCAGCGACGCCGCGUGAGUGAAGAAGUAUUUCGGUAUGUAAAGCUCUAUCAGCAGGGAAGAAAAUGACGGUACCUGACUAAGAAGCCCCGGCUAACUACGUGCCAGCAGCCGCGGUAAUACGUAGGGGGCAAGCGUUAUCCGGAUUUACUGGGUGUAAAGGGAGCGUAGACGGCAUGGCAAGUCAGAUGUGAAAGCCCGGGGCUCAACCCCGGGACUGCAUUUGAAACUGUCAGGCUGGAGUGCAGGAGAGGUAAGUGGAAUUCCUAGUGUAGCGGUGAAAUGCGUAGAUAUUAGGAGGAACACCAGUGGCGAAGGCGGCCUACUGGACGGUGACUGACGCUGAGGCUCGAAAGCGUGGGGAGCAAACAGGAUUAGAUACCCGCGUA